This 468-nucleotide ribosomal RNA is filed under the name uncultured bacterium. RNAcentral describes it as "partial 16S ribosomal RNA". It matches the Rfam family "Bacterial small subunit ribosomal RNA", at positions 28 to 507 of the family's 1533-position model. The record is from RNAcentral.
GACGAACGCUGGCGGCGUGCUUAACACAUGCAAGUCGAACGGAAAGGCCCUGCUUUUGUGGGGUGCUCGAGUGGCGAACGGGUGAGUAACACGUGAGUAACCUGCCCUUGACUUUGGGAUAACUUCAGGAAACUGGGGCUAAUACCGGAUAGGAUCUCCUGCUGCAUGGUGGGGGUUGGAAAGUUUCGGCGGUUGGGGAUGGACUCGCGGCUUAUCAGCUUGUUGGUGGGGUAGUGGCUUACCAAGGCUUUGACGGGUAGCCGUCCUGAGAGGGUGACCGGCCACAUUGGGACUGAGAUACGGCCCAGACUCCUCCGGGAGGCAGCAGUGGGGAAUAUUGCACAAUGGGCGGAAGCCUGAUGCAGCAACGCCGCGUGCGGGAUGACGGCCUUCGGGUUGUAAACCGCUUUCGCCUGUGACGAAGCGUGAGUGACGGUAAUGGGUAAAGAAGCACCGGCUAACUACGUG